CUCAGUGCACUGUAGGGAUGGCCCGGAAAGGCUGAAAGUUUGGGGCGGCGGGUCCAAGCUCCUCCCUCGGCUCGGGUGCAGCGGGAAAGGGUACAGAGGCGCGGACCUGGCCGGCGGCGGGAUGCAGCGGGUCACCCGCCUGAGCCCUCCAUGACCUGCACUAAAGAUGCGCGGCUGCAGCUGGGCCGGGAAGCCCUGCAGGCGGCGCCGACGCUGCUGGUCCCCGCGGUGCUACUGGGUGGCGUUCUCGGCCUAGGCCUUGGCUUGUGGCUUGGCUGUCGCGCGAGCCACUUGCGCGCACGGCUCCAGAAAGAUGACAGGAAACGUCUGCUCGGGAGUUCAGAGCCCCCUGCACAGAGCCUACGGGACACUGGCUCUCAAGCCAAAGCCAGGAGGCGCCAGAGAGAAACCACUCGGGAUGAAGACGCCCCUGAGGUGUGUGAGCCAUCCUUGAGUGGCAACAUCACGGCAUUUGCACUGAAAGCCAGAGUUGUCUAUCCCAUCAACCAGAAGUUCCGGCCUCUGGCCGACGGAUCCUCCCACCCAUCGCUGCAUGAAAACCUGACACAGGCAGCGGCCAUCCUGCCCCACCUGCCCCACCAGCCAGCAGAGGCCUCACCAGCCAGCAGCCUGGGCAGCCUGAGCCAGGCUGGCAAGGAGGACGGCAGCUCCUCCUCCAGCAUGCGGUCAACCUACAGCGACGACCGGAUCCUCCAGUGUGCCUUUCUCCGGGUGGGCAGCUUCCCUGAGAUCCUGGCCUGUGAGAGUGUGGACAUUGACCUGUGUGUCUGCAGCCUUCACCUGAAAGACCUGCUUCAGGUAGACACGGCGCUGAGGCAAGAGAAGCACCUGAUGUUCAUUCAGAUUCUUAAAGCAUGCCUCCUGGAUUUUUUUCCUAAAAAGAAGCCUGAUGAUGAAUUAUGCCAGAAGGUUCUUUCCAAACAAGAGCAUGAUUUGGAGGAAUUAGAAAAGGGACUCCAGGCCAGAUUGGCGAACACAGAAAUGUUAGGCACUGGCGACUCUGGCUACGUUUCCCUGGCAGAUGUGGAGAGGAAGGAGAGAGAGCUCUCAGAGCAGCUCAUAGACAACAUGGGAGCUUUCUGGAAGCAGAUGGAAAGCAUCCAGCCCACUCUCAUGGACCAGUUUAAGUGUUCCAGCUCCAAAGCUCGGCAGUUCAUGAUGACUCUGACAGGAAGAAUGAUUGUCGCUGAAGGACUGCUGCAUGACUCUCAGGACCUGCAUGUCCUGGACACCCUGGAGAGGACAAUGGGUCGAUCCCACUUGGCAAGAAUGGUGGAGUUCCUGAGAACCCAGAUCCAGGAGGAGACCAAGUGCAGACUUGCUGCCAUCUCCCGUGGCCUGGAGUUGCUGACUGUCCAGGGGCAGCUGUCUGGGAGGCAAAAGGAGGAACUCCUGACUCAGCAGCACAAGGCCUUCUGGGAGGAGGCAGAGCGUUUUGGCAGGGAAUUCACGCAGCGGGGCAAAGAUCUGGUCCAGGCGUCUCAGGCUCGCCAGGCAGAGGCAGCAGCAGAGCUCACACAGACCCAAGAAGAAGAACGGAGGAGUUUCCUGGCUGAUUCCCAGCUGACCUCGGAUCCUGGGGAAUUCCUCAAGGCUUUUCAUGAGGUCCUGGAGAGGCAGCGGCUGACAAGGAGUGACCAAGAGGGAGACGAGGACACCCGAAUCACUGAGGCCAUGGCUGCGCUCUGCCAGGAGCUGUACUGUAGCACCAUGGGAACCUUCCAAAAGUUUGUGGACUCCCUGUUCCUGAAGACCCUCCCAGAAGUGACCAGCCUCCCUGUGGCAGAAUGUGAGACCCUGCGGCAGCAGGUCCAGGAGCAGGCAGCAAGGCAGCUGGGACAGGCAGACCGAUUCCGCAGACGACAGUGGGGACUCCUAUGUGAUCUAUUGGAGCAGGACAAACGGGUGUGGCUGGAGGAGGGUACGCUGUCCACGGUGCUGCAGAGGCAGCUGCGGGAUCACCACGAGAGCACCAUCCACGGCGUCCUGAGCAGAUUCAGUGGCCUUUCUGAAGAGUCCUCACGAGGCAUCCUGCAGGGCCACGAACUGCUGCUGUGCUCUGCUCUGCGCAGACUGGCCCUCCGAGGCACCACCAUCACUGCCCUGGCUCAGAUGAGGCUGUCUGGGAAGAAGAGGCUCCUGCAGGAGCUACAUGAGCAGCUGGCAUUAGAGCAGGGUGUGUCCCCAUGCCUGGAGGAGCAUCAAUGGCAGCUGCUUAGAGCCCUGGAGGCGCGGAUCCAGGAGGAGGCAGCCAGGUUGGAGGAUGAGGCACAGCAGACAGGUCUGCGGCUCCAGCAGCAGCUGCUGGCGGAGGCACAGGAGGCAGGGCGGCUGCUACAGCUGCACAUGGAGCGGGUCAUUGGGCAGGCGCUGCUGGUACAUGCUAGGAAUGUUGCCAGCAAAGGCCGGACCAGGGAGAAGGAAGACUUCAAGAGGACGCUGGUAGAGACGGUGGUGGAGAGUGUGUAUGUGACCAGCACUAGUGUCAACCGCCUCGUGCAGGCGCAUUACCAGGCCGUCGGGAAGCUCCUGCAGGCUCAUGAGGAACAAUUGCUGCAGCGCCUAAAGACCCUGCAGGGAGAGAGAAUCAAUGCUUACAAGCUGUGGAAGAAGCAAGAAUUCAGUGACCCGUCGUUGGAGAGUCAAACAGCGGAUGGUACCCAUGGAGCUUCCCAGGGGGUACAGCAGAGGAUGCUUUCGCAGCAGAAGAGGCUCCUGGACCAGUUCACGAAGCAUCAGCAAGGCCGCCUGAACUCUCAGAGGCAGAAGGCACAAGAGCUGGACCAGCUGCAAGCCCAGCUUGAGACCCAGCUGCAGGAAGCUGAGCAGACCCUUAUCUCAGAGCUAUCGACAUUGGCCCGAGUACCCCUUCCUGAGAACAAGCCAUUCUCCAACAAGCGAGGACUUCCAGAAAAGCCAGUAAGAACCAAAAGGAAGAAACCCCCACCUCGGGAGAGAGAGGACCUGGGGACACCAAACGAUGACCACCUUGCCUUGGCCGACCACACCACAGGACCACUCAGAAUAUCCAAAAAGUGUUGAACCUGUCGGAAUGGCUAAGAUACGUAAUACAAGUGGCAGAUCAUGCUGGCGAGGUUAUGAAGCACGGGGACCACUCUCCUCCACUGCUGGUGCAACUUACCAUGGUAAGACUGCAACAUCAGCCCAGCCACAAACCUUCAACCUACAAUCUAUCCCACCUUCAAGAUGGAUGGGGGCAAUGGAAGCUAGAACACGUGGAUAUGGACAACCAAUGCCUGAUCUCAUCUGAGGCCUACACCAUGAACGUGAGCCCAUGCCCCACACUGACACUGCCUGGGUGACUGGAAACCAAAGGCUGGAUAACCUAGAGACCUAGGAUAGAAAAAAAAUCAAUAAUGAUAUUCUGCUAUCCUCAAAACCAAUGCCUGGCCCAAUCAUCACCAGAGACCCACAGCUAAACAUUAGGUGCAGAAGGAGCCCAAAUUGGAGAUCUCCAGAGAACACCUCCCCUAAGAGCUCAGGGAACCCCAUAGAAGAGGGUGGGGAGAAUUGUGGGGUCCAGAGAGGUCAAGCACACCAGGACAAGGCUAUGGAAGAACCUGCUAAGCAGGGCUCAUAGCGGCUCACAGAGACUGCAGUGAUAACCGUGACGCUUGCAUGAGUCUGCACUAGGUCCUCUGCAAGUUUGUUAAGGUUGUUAGCUUGGUGUUUUGUGGGACUCCUAACAGUGGGAAUGGGAGUAUCUCUGACUCGUUUGCCUGCUCUUGGCUUUUCCCCCUACUGUGCUGCCUUACCCAACCCUAAUACAAAGGUUUGUGCCCCGUCUUAUUGGAACUUGUUAUGCUAUGUUUGAUUGAUAUCCUUGGGAGGACUGCUCUUUUCUGAAGGAAAACUGAGGAGUAGAUCUCAGGGAGAGGGGAGGAGGUAGUGGUGGAUACUGGGAGGAGUGAAGGGAGGGGGGGGACUGUGUUUGGGAUAUAUAUUGUAUGAGACGAGGGUUGUGUGUGUAUGUGUGUGUGUGUGUGUGUGUUUUACGAAAAAUAAAUAAUAAAUCCUCUCUAAAGUAUCUGAAGUCUAAAAUUCCACGUCUCUUGAAUAUGGGCUCCUGUAAAAAGAAGAGGAGGCAGAAAGAGGAGGCAGAGGAAGAAAAAGAGAAGGACGAAGAGGUGGAAGAAGGAGAAAGAGAGAGGGGAAGAGGGAGGGAAUGGAGGGAGAGAGAGACAGAGAGACAGAGACAGAGACAGAGACAGAGAGAAAAGUACUCCCUAACUCCAAGAGGUAAAGACCAGCACCAGGGCACAGCCACAAUCACAACAAAGCAAAACAAAGUUCAACAAUGUCAAAAUUUCAGUGCCUGGUGUCUGGGACGCACUCACAAUUCUGUGGAUUCAAAAGGCCUGGACAGCCCCACUUCUCUGGCAAUACCAACUACAACAUGCAUGGCUUGCCUCCUAGGCUCAGGCUGGCUCCACCCCAUACACGCUGCUGUCCGUGGUGGCUGUCCUGUGGCACUGACACCCCUGACAUGCCGGGAUCUUCUUUGUAUCUGGAUUGUGCCUUUACCAGUAGCCUCUUCUGCGCUCUCUUCAGAGACUCUAACCUGGCCUCAUGGUCCCAAGUCUCAACUUCUCCCCAUGACCCCUUUAAGCCUUUAAAACCAGGAUCUCAACAGGUGUGGUGGUGCACACCUUUAAUCCCAGAACAUAUAAGAGGCAGGUGGGUCUCUGAGUUCAAGGUCAGCCUGGUCCACAGAGCAAGUUUCAGAACAGCCAAGGCUAAAAAGAGAAACCUUAUCUCGAAAAUAAGUUAAUUAAUUAAUUAAUCAACUAAUUGAUUAAUAUAAAGCCAGGACUUCUCCUGACUUCUAGAGAGUAUGCAGGGGAAGACGACUCCGGAGAGUCAGGGUGACUAAGGAGAGGAGUGCCUGGUCUAAGAGAAGCCCUUGUCCAGUAGUACCUACUUCACCCCGGGAUCAUGAUAGGAGACUACAGCUCCUCAGGAGUCAGAGGGUUGCCACAGGAGGGGAUUCUUGGUUUCUAAGAAGCUGGUACACCAUCACAAACACAGAAAUAUAAUAGGAACAAAACCUCCCUCCCAAUGUGGGGCUUGUGACACCCACAAGCUGAUGUCUAUGCAGCCAGGCACCUGCUGGGCCCCAAGCUGCCCAAUAGACCUUGAGCCCUGCCUAACAGGGAUUUUUUUUUUAAAGGUUGCUUAUCACAUCCCAUCCCAAGUAGGCCCUGGGUACUCACAGAACCUUGCAAUGCCUUUCUCUCAUAGGGAACUGCUACUGUAAGUAAAGAUCUUUCCCCUGAAACCAAGUUGGUCUGGCCCCAUGUCCUUUCCUAUAGGGUCUCUGUGGAACUGUAGAGAAAAAUUACCACUCACUUUGCAAGGGUGCCCUUCACUUGGGGACACUCUUAUUCUUUAACCCCGGGCUUACUUAGCUGGAUAGUAGCAUGGUUCCUUACAGAAAUUACAGCCUUCUCCCAGCCCCUCCGCUCUAGAGCACGACAUAGAGAGUCACUGCUCUGUAUCAUCCUUAGUGACCCAGUUCCUAAGCACACCCAUCUGUGAGCUGUGUCUGUCCAUCAACGCAUAACCCAAAAGCCUGCCUAUUGAUCCAGGGUCUUGACCCAUUUCCCCAAGACGUGUACUCACUCUUCUCUCCCAUCUCUCACCCCCAGGGUCCCCAGUACUCGGUCAUCGCAGAGUCAGAAUGAGGACCAGGCAGUUGAUAAACCCAAGUGAAAACACCCACUCAGAUCAACGGGCAAUUUAAUUUCUUUAUUUUUUUUCACAAGCUUUGAAUUCAGAAAUAAGAGCCACCAACAAGUCAGUUAUUAAGUAAAAAUGGAAGUGAAUACAAAGGAAAACUGUACAAAACUUUAAAAAUCUGACUGCCCUGCUCGAACUCCUCAGAGGGUCAGAGACUCAGGCAGCCUGGGCAGUCAUUACCGCACCGUCCUCAAGGCCUGGGUGGGGUGUCAGGACACCCCUUUCUGGGUGUGAGCCUGGCUGGGCCCAAAGCCCAAGGCUGGCUGGAAGAA
Molecule: RNA transcript, 6053 nt
Organism: Mus musculus (house mouse)
Lineage: Eukaryota; Metazoa; Chordata; Mammalia; Rodentia; Muridae
Gene: Evc
Gene name: EvC ciliary complex subunit 1
Exons: 22
Source: RefSeq, marked validated